CACCCGGUGGGCUGGCAGUGGGACGGGCUGCCAUUCAGCCUCCACACCCUGAUGAGCUGAGCCCCAAGUUCUCCCGCGCCUCACAGUCUCAGCACAUGAAGUCCAGGGUGGACAGGAGGAGACACCUUCACUUCUCCAGGCCCCCGAGGACCCCCACUGCAGGGAGACUCUCCGGAUGAGGCUCUUUAUGUUAUCACUUCCCUGGAAGGAGAGGUAAGACAAAGGCCAUCGCAUCCACUUUACAGACCAGGAACUGAGGACUGAGAGGGUCUACGUGACAGUGGCCAGGCCCAGACAGAACAGCACCCCCAGAAGGGUCUUCACCUGGCUCAGCUGGCCAGGAUCAUGGGGCUGUGGACACAGGCAGGGAAUGUGCAGGGAAAACUCAGGAUAUGAUCCUGGGACCUUCCCUGUGGCUUCAAAAUCAGAGCGCUGCAUUAGCACUGUCGCACUGCAUCUGGCCAGGGCAGGUAGAUUUCUGAAGGCCGGAAAUACCAAUGGGAAAGCUGAAGACAUACAGAGGUGGAGACUGCCAAAGCCUGCCAGCACUUUCUGGGGUCACCACUGAAAACGUUCCACCUGGGCUUGCACGGGUCAACCAA
This is a long non-coding RNA of Tupaia belangeri chinensis (Chinese tree shrew), 602 nucleotides long. RefSeq lists it as uncharacterized. NCBI's taxonomy places the organism in Eukaryota, Metazoa, Chordata, Mammalia, Scandentia, Tupaiidae. The record is from RefSeq and is a predicted model, not a curated record. The transcript is spliced from 3 exons.